UGGGGAAUAUUGCACAAUGGGCGCAAGCCUGAUGCAGCCAUGCCGCGUGUAUGAAGAAGGCCUUCGGGUUGUAAAGUACUUUCAGCGGGGAGGAAGGUGUUGAGGUUAAUAACCUCAGCAAUUGACGUUACCCGCAGAAGAAGCACCGGCUAACUCCGUGCCAGCAGCCGCGGUAAUACGGAGGGUGCAAGCGUUAAUCGGAAUUACUGGGCGUAAAGCGCACGCAGGCGGUCUGUCAAGUCGGAUGUGAAAUCCCCGGGCUCAACCUGGGAACUGCAUUCGAAACGGGCAGGCUAGAGUCUUGUAGAGGGGGGUAGAAUUCCAGGUGUAGCGGUGAAAUGCGUAGAGAUCUGGAGGAAUACCGGUGGCGAAGGCGGCCCCCUGGACAAAGACUGACGCUCAGGUGCGAAAGCGUGGGGAGCAAACA
This 427-nucleotide ribosomal RNA is filed under the name uncultured bacterium. RNAcentral describes it as "partial 16S ribosomal RNA". It matches the Rfam family "Bacterial small subunit ribosomal RNA", at positions 355 to 774 of the family's 1533-position model. The record is from RNAcentral.